GACGAACGCUGGCGGCGCGCUUAACACAUGCCAGUCGAACGGAAAGGCCUGCUUUCCCUUGUGGAUUGCGGGUACUCGAGUGGCGAACGGGUGAGUAACACGUGAGUGAUCUGCCCCCAACUUGGGUAUAAGCCUGGGAAACUGGGUCUAAUUCCCGAUAGGACUGCAGGGUGGUGCCUGUGGUGGAAAACGAUUUUCUAGUGGUUGGGGAUGAGCUCGCGGCCUAUCAGCUUGUUGGUGGGGUAAUGGCCUACCAAGGCGGCGACGGGUAGCCGGCCUGGGAGGGUGGACGGCCACAUUGGGACUGGGAUACGGCCCAGACUCCUACGGGAGGCAGCAGUGGGGAAUAUUGCACAAUGGGCGGAAGCCUGAUGCAGCGACGCCGCGUGGGGGAUGACGGCCUUCGGGUUGUAAACUCCUUUCGACCGCGAGGAAGCCACCUGGUUGGAAGGGUGGUGACGGUAGUGGUAGAAGAAGCACCGGCUAACUACGUG
RNAcentral lists this ribosomal RNA (494 nucleotides) under uncultured bacterium. RNAcentral describes it as "partial 16S ribosomal RNA". It matches the Rfam family "Bacterial small subunit ribosomal RNA", at positions 28 to 507 of the family's 1533-position model. The record is from RNAcentral.